Molecule: long non-coding RNA, 3013 nt
Organism: Amborella trichopoda
Lineage: Eukaryota; Viridiplantae; Streptophyta; Magnoliopsida; Amborellales; Amborellaceae
Source: RefSeq, a predicted model, not a curated record
UCAUUCUCUAAUCUCUAAUCUCUCAUCUUUUCUCUCUAUUUAUUUUGCUUCCCCUCCGUUCUGUUCGCCUCUCUUCCCCUACUAACAUGUACUCUCUCUCUCUCGUCUCAAGUAAAGAAAUAAACCAGUGAGAGCUAGAGAAAGUUAGAGAGAGGAUGAACAUGAAGUAUGUGUGAGUGGACCUUUACGCUUUAUUGCUCGAUGGCUCGUCAAGGUCCUUUUACUGAGGGGUUACACCGUUCAAGCCACUGCUCGUGAUAUCAGCCAAAAUCGACAACCAAAUGUAUAGCCCAAGCUUGCCCUCUACCCCUUCUACUGUCAGUUUAUUAAUCUUGUUUGCCCCCUCCCCAUCUCUGGCUCCAACAAGCUUGCCUCGGAAGUCUCUAACUCCAAAAAAUAUUCUAUAGAUAUUGUGGUAAUUAAUAUUGCCCAAUCUUCAUCCUCUUCUCCAAGCAUCACCACCCAUCUUGCAUCCUCUUCUAUAGCCAACAUCCCUGCAUGUUCAAUUAAGGUUCACAUCUCCCCCUUCACCCUAAUUUCUUUAUCCAAUGGGGUGCCUCAUAUUUGGCUCCCCAAAACCAGCAAGACUUUGUUGCAUAUUUUUUCCUUAAAAAACUUCUUAAUAGAUUCUUUCUUAGCUCAGAGAAACGAUAUCAGAGGAAUCAUUGAAUGGUUCCAGUCUAUCUUCAAAAAACGACCACAUUUUCUACAGGCCUUUACACAAUGAAACUUAUCUCUUUGCCGAACGGAGCUCUCAUCCCUUCCAACAUUCGCCUUAGUCGUCAUUUUUUCAGAGACUCUCAGAAAAUGGAAUGAGUUCAUUGACGUCGAAUGAAAAACUAAGGUAUGACUUCUUUUCUGGGGUAUUCCAAUCCAUCUUUGGUCUGAUUUCGUCUUUAAAGCCAUUGGGGACUCCUACGGUGGCUUCAUUUCAAUUCACUGGAAAUCCUUAAGUUCUCACCCCUUAAGCCGCCUUAUAAUCCUUGUUGAAUCCCUUAACCCCGACUCCAUUCCCUACUCUUGUCCCCUGAAUUUUAAUGGUUUUGCAUACCACAAAAUCUUUAUCCAGGGGCUACAAACCCUGGUCCCAAUGAAAGGGCCUCUACGAACCAUGAAAGUUGUAUGAAAGGAAAGUAUAUAUUGCGUAUCAAGUUAAUAUGGAAAGCAUAUAUUUGCAAAUAGUAGAGUAUAUGUACAUUAUGAUAAGUCUAGGUAUAGUUUAGGUAUCUGUGAUUUAGUUUCUAUUAUUGUCAUCUGUCUAUAAAAGGCAAGUCUGUAGAUUGAUAUGAUUAAUGGACAUUGAGUCUCUUCAGAGAAACCUGAGGCUAUUCACAUGGUAUCCGAGCAAGGUUCAUCUUAGUUGUGUCAAUUCCUCAUCCUUGAAGCAUUAUCGCCAAUUUUCAGGAUGAGUUUGUUGCUCACCCAGUCGGUGCAACUUAUGUCGAGUCAUGUUUCGACUCUCUGUUGAGUCGUGUUUCAACUCUCUGAUCUGUCCUCUCUGUCGAGUCGUGUUUCGACUAUCUGUCGAGUUGUGUUUUGACUCUCUGAUAUGUCUCUUUUGCCGAGUCGUUUUCGACUCUCUGAUCUGUUUUAUUUUUGGGAUUUUUUCUUAGUAAUUUCUCCGAUCCACUAUCUCUCUAGGAUUGUCCGACUGAUUUGUAAGAGAUAAGUGGUGUAUGUUCUUUUGUCUCCAACUCAAAGCUCGGCGUACUAUUGAAGAUCCACUGCAUGUUUCCGCAACUUAGUGUUCAAACGUGGCAUCUUGAGUUUGAGGGGGAGUGUGAAAGGAAAGUAUAUAAUGUGUAUCAGGUUAAUGUGGAAAGUAUAUAUUGUGGGAAGGAUUAGUAGAGUAUAUGUACAUUAUGGUAAGUCUGGGUAUAGUUUAGGUAUCUGUGAUUUAGUUUCUAUUAGUGUCAUCAAUAAUUGUCUAUAAAUAAUAAGUCUGUAUAUUCAUAUGAUUAAUAGCCAUUGAGUCUCUUUAAAGAAACCUGAGACUCUUCACAAGCUGGACACAAGAAUCGUUCCCAACCGAGUAUAUCCCUCCUCGAGAUCAUUAUAAUCCAGAGCAACCUCAGCCCCAAUAGACUGUGUAUGGUCCCUCCUCGAGACCCUUCUCUUUUUUUAUGUUCCCUCUCCCCCUUUUUCAAUCCCGUCUUCCUACUCUAUUCUCUCCCCUAUUCUCUAACCUCCGACUGACUCUCUAGCUUCCCUCAUUCUGCUUGUACUGGCUCCUCCACUUCCCACCUCACCAUCCCCUCUCAUGUCUAGAAGAUAUAAACAACAUCCAGUCUUCCCGUGAGGGGACUGCCAAAGGUAAUGGUCCCUCUUAUCUUAAACCAUCCUCUGUUUCCAAGACUCAUGUGAAAGCCAUCGGUAGUUUUAAGAAGAUGAAGGCUACUAUUAAAGCUUUUGUGAAGGGUUCUCGCUCUUCGGCAAGGCUCCAAGCUAGGGAUGUCUUCAAAGGUGGUUCGUUGGCUGCGAUUGUGUUUCGUGAUAACUCGGUGGUGGAGGUGGACUCGGCUUCAAGUUCAUCUUUCAGUGAUGAAGAACGGGAUGCUGCUAUGAUGAUGGAGGACAUGUUCUUUGGCUUUGGUUCUGAUGGACUAGGUUCUUCCUCAAACCCCCUCCUCUCUUAUGAAUUUCAUUUCCUGGAAUGUUAGGGGAUGGAUAACCCCUGUAGGAAAAGGGAUGUUUUCUUUUUGUUAUCUAAAUUCAAACCUGUGAUUUUGGUUUUGCAAGAAACAAAGCUCCCUAGCCCCAAUGUCUCAGGGGUGCGGGAGAUUUGGGGUUCUGGUGCCAUUGGCUUUUUUUGUAUUGAUGCUUGUGGGGCUUCUGGUGGCCUGUGGGUCUUAUGGGAUCCCACGGUUAUUCAGAAUUUUGACACCAUUAUCAAGGAUAAUUUUUUGCUGCUGGGCUUCCAUGGUCUGAAAGUGGGGUUGAAUUGGGGUUUUGUGAAUGUGUAUGGACUCUCUAUUUUGGCUUUGAAAUAAGUUUUUCUCUCUGAAUUGAGCUA